Molecule: ribosomal RNA, 725 nt
Filed under: uncultured Bacillota bacterium
Lineage: Bacteria; Bacillati; Bacillota
Description: bacterial SSU rRNA
Rfam family: Bacterial small subunit ribosomal RNA
Source: RNAcentral
AACGAGAAAGUGGAGCAAUCCAUGAUUACAGUGGCGAACGGGUGAGUAACACGUGACUAACCUGCCUUCGAGUGGGGGAUAACCUCGGGAAACCGGGGCUAAUACCGCAUAACAUCCUCAGGGUGCAAUUCCCAGGGGACCAAAGGGGUAAGACGCUUGAAGAGGGGGUCGCGGCUGAUUAGCUAGUUGGUGAGGUAAUGGCUCACCAAGGCGAAGAUCGGUAGCCGGCCUGAGAGGGCGCACGGCCACACUGGAACUGAAACACGGUCCAGACUCCUACGGGAGGCAGCAGUGGGGAAUUUUGCGCAAUGGGGGAAACCCUGACGCAGCAACGCCGCGUGGAGGAUGAAGCCCCUUGGGGCGUAAACUCCUUUCGAUCGGGACGAUUAUGACGGUACCGGAUGAAGAAGCACCGGCUAACUCUGUGCCAGCAGCCGCGGUAAUACAGAGGGUGCGAGCGUUGUUAGGAAUUAUUGGGCGUAAAGGGCGCGUAGGCGGUGCGGCAAGUCACCUGUGAAACCUCUGGGCUUAACCCAGAGCCUGCAGGCGAAACUGCCGUGCUGGAGUGUGGGAGAGGUGCGUGGAAUUCCCGGUGUAGCGGUGAAAUGCGUAGAUAUCGGGGAGGAACACCUGUGGCGAAAGCGGCGCACUGGACCACAACUGACUCUGAGGCGCGAAAGCUAGGGGAAGCAAACAGGAUUAGAUACCCUGGUAGUCCUAGCCCU